Molecule: long non-coding RNA, 1909 nt
Organism: Arachis stenosperma
Lineage: Eukaryota; Viridiplantae; Streptophyta; Magnoliopsida; Fabales; Fabaceae
Exons: 3
Source: RefSeq, a predicted model, not a curated record
AUUUUAAAAUUACUCUAUUCUUCAAUUUUAUCAAAAUAUCUAUUCAUAUCUAUCCUUAUUUCUUUAUAAAAUCCUAAUUUUACUAAAUUCCUAAUUGAUACCCUAAUUUCACAAAUAAACACAAACACAGAAAGGAAAGAAAGGGAACAGGGGGAGCUCGAGGGGGGAAACGGAGAACAGGGAGAGAGUGUGAUGGAACAGAGUAAGAAGAGAGGAAGGAGGAUCGCUAUUGUCUCUGGUAGGUUGUCACUGACGUUGAACAGAACAGGGGAGAGGAGCGCGAAUUUGAAAGCGAAAAGGGAGCUCUGUUAUGGGCUCGUUGCCAGGAAAAGAAGAGGCGAUGUUGGUGGGGAUCGCCGCUGGUGUCGUCGCCGUGACUGGGGUUCGUGGUCGCUACUGCUGUUGGUGACGGACUAGGUCGCGUCCUAGCUGCCGGAGCCGCCAUCACCGUGGCUUUGUUACUUUGGGUCAACCAUGUCUCUGCCUUUGAUGUACCUUGUCGUGCCAUAUCCGUUGGAGCUGCCGUGGUUGGAGCUGGCUAUCAGAGAAAACAAUUUGCUGCCACCAUCUUUCAAUCUGGCCAGCAUCAUCCUCUUUGUUCCAGUCCCAAUGCCAAUUUUCUGUUUCUUAAACCUUUGUCAAUUUAUCUCCUGAGAAAUCACAAUUGGUGUUGAGGUCGUUGAUGCUGCUGCUGUUAUGCUGUAGCUAGCUGCAAGAGUUUUACUGCUGCGGGUUAGAAAUUGAUGGUUGCUGCAUCCCAAAAUUCUGUGGAUUUCGAUAAAUCGAGUGACACAGGUUUGAAGACGCAAUUUGAAGCUGCGAGCGAUUAGUAGGUUUUCUUUAUGAUUUUAAUUGCUUUCAUAGAAUCCCCUCGCUCUUGUCCUUUGAGGUUUUAUUUUAACAGAGGGGUAGGUGUUGUAGUUGGGUUUGUAUGACUUCUUAUGUAUAAGAGUUACUAUUAAUAAUACUUAUAUGAUUGUUAUUAUUAUUUGCAAUGGUUAUCCUUGAUACAUGUCUUUAAUGAAUAAAAACAAAAUUUUCCGGAAUUUUCUUAAAACUAAACUGCGAACUCGAUAUAAAGGCUCAGUAAUUAAGUAGUUAAUAUUAGAAAAGGUCACGUAACGUUCUUUCUAGUAGAAAUACCCUGACUUAAGCAAGGUAUUUUGCUGGAAGGGAUGUUACAGAAGGCUACAUCCCAUCCUCGCAGUGAAAACUACGCUCACGCGCUCUGUCACAGCACGGCUAAUCACUGGUUGGUUCCCACGCCUACUGGAAUAGAAUCCCUUGAUUCUUUUGCGUUUGUCACUAACGCCCAGCACUUGCAAGUCUGAAGCACGUCACAGUCAUUCAUUACCGGAAUCCUACUCGGAAUACCACAGACAAGGUUAGACUUUUCGGAUUCCCAGGAUCCUACUCGGAAUACCACAGACAAGGUGAGACCUUCCGGAUCCUCAUAAAUGCCGCCAUCUAUCUAGCUUAUACCACGAAGAUUCUGUUGGGGAAUCUAAGAGAUACACAUUCAAGCUCUGUUGCAUGUAGAACGGAAGUGGUUGUCAAUCACGCGCGUUCAUAAGUGAGAAUGAUAAUGAGGGUCAUAUAAUCAUCACAUUCAUCAUGUUCUUGGGUGCGAAUGAAUAUCUUGGAAUAAGAAUAAGAGAGAAUUGAAUAAAAGAAAAUAGAAUUGCAUUAAUACUUGAGGUACAGCAGAGCUCCACACCCUUAAUCUAUAGUGUGCAGAAACUCCACCGUUAAAAAUACAUAAGUAAAAGGUUCAGGCAUGGCCGAAUGGCCAGCCCCCAUGUGGUCACAAGACCGAAUGAUCAAAGACAUCUAAUACAAUAGUUAAAUGUUCUAUUUAUAAUAAACUAGCUCCUAGGGUUUACAUGAGUAAGUAAUUGAUGCAUAAAUC